RNAcentral lists this long non-coding RNA (4495 nucleotides) under Pan troglodytes (chimpanzee). RNAcentral describes it as "lncRNA (ENSPTRG00000053317.1)". The record is from RNAcentral. Lineage: Eukaryota; Metazoa; Chordata; Mammalia; Primates; Hominidae.
CCAUCUAUCCAUCCAUCCAUUCAUCUGUUCUAUCUAUGUAUCUAUCUUAUGUAUCUAUCCAUUCAUCUAUCCCAUCUUAUCUAUCCAUCCCAUCUUAUCUGUCCAUCCGUCCAUCCAUCCAUGUAUCUACCUAUCUACCUGUCUACCUACCUACCUACAUAUUCUAUAGUUCUGCUCUCUGGAUAACCCUGUUCUAUACUGUGAGUAUUUAAUGAGUUAACAUGUACAUUGUUUAGGAAGUGCUAGUUAAGUAUGUCUCUUAUUUCUGAAUCUAGCUACUUAUUUUUGUGAUAAUAAAAAUGUAAAUGCUGGUUGGCAAAUGACCCACAUGUUACAGGAGGACAUAAAAUAGCACGAAGUUUCCUCACCCUGGGCCAGGACUGUCACAUUCCCCAGAGCAACACUGUAAACUGGUGUGUCCUCUUCUAGACAUCUCCUCUGCGUGAAUGUGUGCGCACACACACACACGUUAAUGUGAGUGGCAGCUCAUGCCCUGCGCAUGCCUUGCUACUUUCAUGUACAGCGGCUGAGGCCUCUAGUGGAGGACGGACCUCAGCAGCCUCCCUGGCUCUGCCACCCAGUAGGGCCUGACUCAGCAACAGGCCUAUCCUGGGCACUUCCCUUGUCCUGCUGUUUUGCCGUGACAUAGGCUGCUAGGCUGCAUGCUUGCACGGAGACCUUGCCCUGUGAGCCAGGCUGGCCGUCUGGAGGACAGAUUCCCAGCCACUAGCCUGCUGGCUUCAGGCUGGCACAUUUACAAUGCAAAUCUCUUCAAAUCCCCUGCACAAAGCUUCUCUGGCCACUCACUGGCCGCGUCUCUGUGCUCCCUGCCUUCUAGAUUUCUACUCAGAUUCUCUCCAGCGUUCAGAAUGAUGGAUCUUGUCAAUCUGUGCCGAUCGUUGGGUGGAAAUGGCACUGCAGGGCCUCCGUUCUGAUUUCCUUCAUCAGUAGGCAUGGCAGGCAUCUCUUUGGAAGUUAAGAGACCACAUGUAUGUGUAUUUCCUUGAGCGGCCUGUCUGUCUUUAGGGAAGCUCGUUUUGCUUUGGUUGGUCCUUGUGAUUGUUGGGACUGUUUAUACUGGGCACGCCUGAAACCCAGCUCUCCUAGGCUUGCUCAGCAAGAGAAACGUGCUGGGCCACCGUUGCCCAAGUCCAGGCUUGAGGGGUUCAAGUGUACUAGGGCUUUGCUCCAUUUCUCUGAUCCUGACAGCUCUGCCCUUCUCCACUGCCAGCUUUGUCUGCAGGUGGAGGAGAACAGACAGUGGUUUCCCAGCACCACCUCAUGGUCUUUCCAGGAUGCACUGAGUGGCAGAAACUCCAAUUCUGAGAACAAUAACUCCACAAUGGCCUCGGCCUCGGAGGGUGAAAUGGAGUCUGGGCAGGAGCUGAAGGAGGAAGGGGGCCCGUGCUUGUUCCCGGGCUCAGACAGUUGGCAAGAAAACCCCGAGGAGCCCUGUUCCAAAGCCUCCUGGACCGUCCAAGAAGGAGCUACAUCAGAGGUUUUGGUAGAUGCUACUGUAGACCUCAUAUCCGAUGAAUGGGAAGCUGCUAAUGCCACACCCAGCAAGAGAAGGAAGCAGGAUGCAGCCCCGCUUGAGGCCGCCAGCGUGCCUUCUGCAGACUGUGAGCAGAGCAAAAAGAAGAAAAGGAAGAAGAAAAAGAAGGGGAACAAGUCCGCUUCCUCAGAGCUGGCUUCCUUGCCCCUGUCUCCUGCCAGCCCCUGUCACCUGACUUUGCUUUCAAACCCGUGGCCUCAGGACACAGCCCUGCCCCACAGCCAAGCCCAGCAGAGUGGCCCCACUGGCCAGCCGAGCCAGCCCCCGGGCACAGCCACCACGCCACUGGAGGGUGACGGCCUCUCCGCGCCCACCGAGGUUGGCGACAGCCCCCUGCAGGCCCAGGCUUUGGGAGAGGCAGGAGUGGCCACAGGAAGUGAGGCUCAGAGCAGCCCCCAAUCCCAGGACCACACGGAAGGGGAGGACCAGGACGCUUCCAUCCCCUCUGGGGGCAGAGGCCUGUCCCAGGAGGGGACCGGUCCCCCUACCUCUGCUGGUGAAGGCCAUUCUAGGACUGAAGAUGCUGCCCAGGAGCUCCUGUUGCCUGAGUCAAAAGGAGGCAGCUCUGAGCCCAGGACAGAACUGCAGACCACCGAGCAACAGGCAGGGGCCUCAGCCUCUACGGCAGUUGAUGCUGCAGCUGAGCCAGCCAAUGCAGUUAAAGGGGCCGGGAAGGAAAUGAAAGAGAAGACCCAGAGAAUGAAACAGCCGCCAGCAACCACUCCUGCUUCCAAAACACACUGCCAGGAAGCUGAGACCAAGACCAAGGACGAGAUGGCUGCUGCUGAAGAAAAAGUUGGUAAAAAUGAGCGAGGGGAGCCUGAAGACCUCAAGAAGCCAGAGGGGAAGAACAGAAGUGCAGCUGCUGUGAAAAACGAGAAGGAGCAAAAAAACCAGGAAGCAGAUGUCCAGGAAGUGAAGGCAAGCAUGCUGAGCCCGGGCGGAGGAGUCACCGUGUUCUUCCACGCCAUCAUCUCUCUUCAUUUCCCAUUCAUUCCUGACCUCCAUAAAGUCGUCAUCAGAGGAGGAGAAGAAUUUGGGGGGUCAAAAUGGGACAGCAAUGUCUGUGAGCUGCACUACACCAGAGACUUGGGUCAUGACCGCGUUCUUGUUGAAGGCAUUGUCUGCAUUUCCAAGAAGCACCUAGAUAAAUACAUUCCUUACAAGUACGUCAUUUAUAAUGGGGAAUCUUUUGAGUAUGAGUUCAUUUACAAGCACCAGCAGAAGAAGGGCGAGUACGUCAACCGCUGUCUGUUCAUAAAAUCUUCACUUCUGGGCUCAGGAGACUGGCAUCAGUACUAUGACAUAGUUUAUAUGAAGCCUCAUGGGAGACUCCAGAAAGUCAUGAGCCACAUCAUAGACGGGCCGAGGAAGGACCUGGUGAAGGGGAAGCAGAUUGCCGCUGUGCUCAUGCUGGACAGCACCUUCAGCAUCCUGCAGACCUGGGACACCAUGAACCUGAACAGCUUCUUCACCCAGUUCGAGCAGUUUUGCUUUGUCCUGCAACAGCCUAUGAUUUAUGAAGGACAGGCACAGCUGUGGACCGAUUUGCAGUACAGGGAGAAAGAGGUGAAGAGAUACCUGUGGCAACAUCUGAAAAAGCACGUGGUAUCAUUGCUGUACGGAAAAAGCACGGACUCUUUGCCUAUGGACUGCCCAGUGAGGAGUAAACUGAAAAUAGGCCUGAUUGUCCUUUUUGUAGUGGAAAAAAUUGAGCUUUUAUUAGAAGGCAGCCUGGACUGGUUGUGUCACCUCCUAAUCUCAGAUGCCAGCUCACCAGAUGAGUUUCACCAUGACCUAAGCCACAUCCUUGGGAUACCUCAGAGCUGGCGGCUGUACCUGGUGAACCUGUGCCAAAGAUGCAUGGACACAAGGACGUACGCCUGGCUGGGCACCCUGCCUGUCCUGCACUGCUGUAUGGAGCUGGCCCCGCGGCACAAGGAUGCCUGGAGACAGCCUGAGGACACCUGGGCCGCUCUGGAGGGACUCUCCUUCUCACCGUUCCGGGAACAAAUGCUAGAUACGAGCUCCCUACUUCAGUUUAUGAGAGAGAAGCAGCAUUUGCUGAGCAUAGACGAGCCUCUCUUCCGGUCCUGGUUUAGUCUGCUACCUCUGAGUCACCUGGUUAAGUAUAUGGAAAACUUCAUUGAGCACCUGGGUCGUUUUCCUGCUCAUAUCCUGGACUGUUUUUCAGGGAUUUACUACCGGCUUCCGGGACUUGAGCAAGUCUUGAAUAUGCAGGAUGUUCAGGAUGUUCAGAACGUUCAGAACAUUUUAGAAAUGCUGUUGCGACUCCUGGACACUUACCGGGACAAGAUUCCCGAGGAGGCCUUGUCACCAUCCUACCUGACUGUGUGUCUGAAACUGCAUGAAGCCAUCUGCAGCAGCACAAAGCUACUUAAGUUUUACGAGCUGCCAGCCUUAUCUGCCGAGAUUGUCUGCAGAAUGAUUAGACUUCUAUCUCUGGUGGAUUCUGCAGGACAGGGAGAUGAAACUGGAAAUAAUUCAGUCCAAACAGUCGUCCAAGGGACCCUUGCUGCUACGAAAAGGUGGCUCCGAGAAGUUUUUACAAAGAACAUGCUCACAUAUUCAGGUGCCUCAUUCACAUACGUCAAGGAAAUUGAGGUAAGCAUUUGGCCGAAGGCUUCUGGGUAGGGAUGUGACUGAUCGUGAUUCCUCAUGGCCUCAAAUCAUGGGGUACAGGCUGCUGGCCAGGGGCAGUUGUUGGCCUUCACCUGAGCCUCGGUUCUUCAUCUACAAAAUGGUGUUGCUCCUGUCUACCUGGCAGGGUGGCUCUGAGGCAGACAGAUGCCGGGUGCAAAGUGCUGCUGCACUGCCUCGUGUCCCCUGGCCGGGCACAGUCCCUGUGGUGAUGGAGGUGUGGAGGUGAUGGUGAUGGUUGGUGGUGGUGGUGGUGGUAGAGGUGAUGGUGGUGAAGGU